RNAcentral lists this ribosomal RNA (448 nucleotides) under uncultured bacterium. RNAcentral describes it as "bacterial SSU rRNA". It matches the Rfam family "Bacterial small subunit ribosomal RNA", at positions 330 to 792 of the family's 1533-position model. The record is from RNAcentral.
UCCAGACUCCUACGGGAGGCAGCAGUGGGGAAUAUUGGACAAUGGGGGGAACCCUGAUCCAGCGACGCCGCGUGAGUGAAGAAGUAUUUCGGUAUGUAAAGCUCUAUCAGCAGGGAAGAAAGAAAUGACGGUACCUGACUAAGAAGCCCCGGCUAACUACGUGCCAGCAGCCGCGGUAAUACGUAGGGGGCAAGCGUUAUCCGGAUUUACUGGGUGUAAAGGGAGCGUAGACGGCAAGGCAAGUCUGGAGUGAAAGCCCGUGGCUCAACCACGGGACUGCUUUGGAAACUGUGUUGCUGGAGUGCAGGAGGGGUAAGCGGAAUUCCUAGUGUAGCGGUGAAAUGCGUAGAUAUUAGGAGGAACACCGGUGGCGAAGGCGGCUUACUGGACUGUAACUGACGUUGAGGCUCGAAGGCGUGGGGAGCAAACAGGAUUAGAUACCCCAGUA